RNAcentral lists this ribosomal RNA (495 nucleotides) under Triticum aestivum (bread wheat). RNAcentral's name for it is "partial small subunit ribosomal RNA". Lineage: Eukaryota; Viridiplantae; Streptophyta; Magnoliopsida; Poales; Poaceae. The record is from RNAcentral.
AUGCAUAGAACAACUACCGUCGUCGACGACCUGGGUAGCAUAAAUGCCAAGUACCCCUUCGAGUUGACGAGACCGGCAAGUUCGAAGACCCCAAGUACCUCUUCGAAACGACCGAGUACCACUAUCGUCGACCCUCGAAGACCCCGUGGACGUCAAGUUCCGUGUCGUGACCCCGAACCUUUACGAAAAUGUUGUACGACUACUUCCGUGGCCGAAGACCCGUAUACAACUACCGUCGCCGUGUACAACUACCUCCACUACGAACAUCCCAAGAAUGUCUACUUCCUCUACUUUGCAUCGAACGAGAACCGUCCCGUUUGCACGCUUCAAAGGUAUUAUCCCGAGACGACCACCCGUGAACGAAUGCAUGUGUUGUAUGAGAUGCAUGUUUGGAUGUUGGAUUCUCCCGUGAACGUUAGUUGUUUUCCCUCGCUUGGCACCGUCGUCGAACCGUGGGAACCCGGUAUUCGGGACCACCCCACCAUCCUUGCAUGA